UACAGGGCUAUCUAGAUGCUCCUUUAUCGCCACCAACAGAUGUUCGUCCUGCUAUGAAACGACAACGAAUUUAUUGUCAACUUCGUAGUGAAGAUUCUAGUAUGUUUGGUGAACGGAAUAACACAAUGGAGGAUGAAAACGAAGAU
Zea mays is the source of this 146-nucleotide long non-coding RNA. RefSeq lists it as uncharacterized. The transcript has 3 exons. The record is from RefSeq and is a predicted model, not a curated record. Lineage: Eukaryota; Viridiplantae; Streptophyta; Magnoliopsida; Poales; Poaceae.